This 253-nucleotide ribosomal RNA is filed under the name uncultured bacterium. Its description in RNAcentral is "partial 16S ribosomal RNA". It matches the Rfam family "Bacterial small subunit ribosomal RNA", at positions 524 to 776 of the family's 1533-position model. The record is from RNAcentral.
UACGGGGGGGGCAAGCGUUGUUCGGAAUUACUGGGCGUAAAGGGUUCGUAGGUGGCUUGCUAAGUCAGACGUGAAAUCCCUCAGCUUAACUGGGGAACUGCGUCUGAGACUGGCAAGCUUGAGUGCAGGAGAGGAACGCGGAAUUCCAGGUGUAGCGGUGAAAUGCGUAGAUAUCUGGAGGAACACCGGUGGCGAAGGCGGCAUCCUGGACCAACACUGACACUGAGGAGCGAAAGCCAGGGGAGCAAACAGG